This 361-nucleotide transfer RNA is filed under the name uncultured Microcystis sp. Its description in RNAcentral is "partial 16S-23S ribosomal RNA intergenic spacer". The stretch from base 136 to 209 matches the Rfam family "tRNA". Lineage: Bacteria; Bacillati; Cyanobacteriota; Cyanophyceae; Chroococcales; Microcystaceae. The record is from RNAcentral.
AAAGGGAGACCUAAUUCAGGUAGGAGACGAAAAAAAAGUAGUCGCUACCAAGAAUCAAUCCCAAAAGGUCGGAGCGAGGCGAAAUUGGCUUUCAAACUAGGUUCUGGGUUCAAACAAGACCUGAAUCAGGAACAAGGGCUAUUAGCUCAGGUGGUUAGAGCGCACCCCUGAUAAGGGUGAGGUCCCUGGUUCGAGUCCAGGAUGGCCCACCUGCACAGGUGGCAAAAACAAGAGAAGCGAGGAAUCAGCACCUUAUCUUACUUAUAUAGUAAGAGAGAAUGCUGGCUCUGAGUAAAGAGUCCAGAGGAGCCUUGAAAACUGCAUAGAGCUAGGUGAAAAAGCCAAAAAAGAAGACCGCAAG